CUUCCGUUGGGGUGACCUGCGGAAGGAUCAUUACUGAUUUGCUUAAUUGCACCACAUGUGUUUUUCUUUGAAACAAACUUGCUUUGGCGGUGGGCCCAGCCUGCCGCCAGAGGUCUAAACUUACAACCAAUUUUUUAUCAACUUGUCACACCAGAUUAUUACUUAAUAGUCAAAACUUUCAACAACGGAUCUCUUGGUUCUCGCAUCGAUGAAGAACGCAGCGAAAUGCGAUACGUAAUAUGAAUUGCAGAUAUUCGUGAAUCAUCGAAUCUUUGAACGCACAUUGCGCCCUCUGGUAUUCCGGAGGGCAUGCCUGUUUGAGCGUCGUUUCUCCCUCAAACCGCUGGGUUUGGUGUUGAGCAAUACGACUUGGGUUUGCUUGAAAGACGGUAGUGGUAAGGCGGGAUCGCUUUGACAAUGGCUUAGGUCUAACCAAAAACAUUGCUUGCGGCGGUAACGUCCACCACGUAUAUCUUCAAACUUUGACCUCAAAUCAGGUAGGACUACCCGCUGAACUUAAGCAUAUCAAAAGGGGGGAGGAA
RNAcentral lists this ribosomal RNA (542 nucleotides) under Candida albicans. RNAcentral's name for it is "eukaryotic LSU rRNA". The stretch from base 174 to 327 matches the Rfam family "5.8S ribosomal RNA". The record is from RNAcentral. Lineage: Eukaryota; Fungi; Ascomycota; Pichiomycetes; Serinales; Debaryomycetaceae.